CGCCUCCUGCCCAAACCAUAGGAGGUCUAGCCUGCCCUGUGAUGAUAUUUUAACGGCCGCGGUAUCUUGACCGUGCGAAGGUAGCGUAAUCACUUGUCUUUUAAAUGAAGACCUGUAUGAAAGGCAUCACGAGAGUUUAACUGUCUCUACUUUCCAAUCAAUGAAAUUGAUCUUCCCGUGCAGAAGCGGGAAUAAACACAUUAGACGAGAAGACCCUAUGGAGCUUCAAAUACUUAAAUUAAUUAUGUAACUAUAUUAUAUUCCAAGGAUAUAAACAAACAAUACAAUAUUCCUAAUUUAACAUAUUUUUGGUUGGGGUGACCAAGGAGAAAAACAAAUCCUCCUUAUCGACUAAGUAUUUAUAUGCUUAAAAAUUAGAAUGACAAUUCUAAGUGAUAAAACAUUUAUCGAAAAAUGACCCAGGAUAUUUUUAAACCUGAUCAAUGAACCAAGUUACCCUAGGGAUAACAGCGCAAUCCUUUCCAAGAGUCCUUAUCGACGAAAGGGUUUACGACCUCGAUGUUGGAUCAGGACAUCCUAAUGGUGUAACCGCUAUUAAGGGUUCGUUUGUUCAACGAUUAACAGUCCU
This 589-nucleotide ribosomal RNA is filed under the name Rhincodon typus (whale shark). RNAcentral describes it as "partial 16S ribosomal RNA". It matches the Rfam family "Bacterial large subunit ribosomal RNA", at positions 1816 to 2597 of the family's 2925-position model. The record is from RNAcentral. Lineage: Eukaryota; Metazoa; Chordata; Chondrichthyes; Orectolobiformes; Rhincodontidae.